Molecule: non-coding RNA, 45 nt
Organism: Schistosoma mattheei
Lineage: Eukaryota; Metazoa; Platyhelminthes; Trematoda; Strigeidida; Schistosomatidae
Source: Rfam
ACUCAACUGACGAGUCCUAAAUAGAACGAAACCGGCGUCUUGGAU